RNAcentral lists this ribosomal RNA (402 nucleotides) under bacterium. Its description in RNAcentral is "partial 16S ribosomal RNA". It matches the Rfam family "Bacterial small subunit ribosomal RNA", at positions 355 to 776 of the family's 1533-position model. The record is from RNAcentral.
UGGGGAAUUUUGCACAAUGGGGGAAACCCUGAUGCAGCGACGCCGCGUGAUUUAGAAGGCCUUCGGGUUGUAAAAAUCUUUUCUAUGGGAAGAAAAUGACAGUACCAUAGGAAUAAGGACCGGCUAAUUACGUGCCAGCAGCCGCGGUAAUACGUAAGGUCCGAGCGUUGUCCGGAAUCAUUUGGCGUAAAGGGUACGUAGGCGGGUAAGCAAGUUAGAAGUGAAAUCCUAUAGCUCAACUAUAGUAAGCUUUUAAAACUGCUAAUCUUGAGGUAUGGAAGGGAAAGUGGAAUUCCUAGUGUAGCGGUGAAAUGCGCAGAUAUUAGGAGGAAUACCGGUGGCGAAGGCGACUUUCUGGCCAUAACCUGACGCUGAGGUACGAAAGCGUGGGUAGCAAACAGG